GGGGGGGAAGCAAUAGAAAUCCAAAGUAAAAUUAAGUUCUCAUGGCCAGGUGUGGCUUUUUCGUUUCUGAGUACGUUCAGUAAGGUUGUCUUGGUGCUGGCGGAACAUCUCAUUUAAUACUGAGCAGUGUUGAGUUAGAAAUAUUUAUCAUCUCAUGUUAAUCGUUGCAUCCAUCAUUACCACGUAAUUACUACAGUGACCUUUAUUAUCUGCUUAAGUUCCUUCAACUACAAUGACGAAAUAUUCUCACCAAAUGGUGGAUUGCAAGUCACUUUUUUAUCAGAAAUUGCAAGGAUUCUUCAAAAAGGAUUCGGCUAAAUACAUCAGGUUUUUAUUUUUAAACCGAAGAAAAUUCUCUACUAGUUACUUACUGUACUUCCAGAAAUGCUUAGCUAUGUUCAAGUUUUACAGCUUGCUGUAGUUGAAAGUAGAGCCUGUUUUCUAUGUUCUGACCAGGAUUUGUAACUGCUUAACUCAUUAGAGUUGGUGUAUCUGAAAAUAGUUCCUUCAACAUUAAUUGGUUCUUUGCUGUACCAUAAACAAAAUGGACUUUUAGAAUACGGAUCAAUUGAUCAAGGCGGUGGCCUAUCACCCGAUGAGCUGGAGUAACAGCCUUGUGAACCAAUCUUGGUUCAAAUCCCAGCAAAGGCGUUACUAGCUGUAACAUCUCUGUGUAUCGUCCAUUUGACACUAGAGCACAUAAACCUUGAAUGUCCUCCUGUGCGUGUGUGGUUGUUCUCUUGAGGCAUUGUUUUCGGAACAAUCAUGUCAUGGGCCAUUAGUUUUCAAGGGAAUAAGCUGAUAUCGCUCGUGUCUAUUGAAAGAGAUGCACACACUGUGCUCACUUGAUGGUUCUCAGCUAGCUUUCACAUUAAACAAUUGCGACAUUGGUGUCUCCGAUUUGGUAUCUGUAGUUACAGACUUAUAUUGAGAAGAACUUGGACUCAGUAUGAUUUUACGCACCUGCCUUACUUUUCUAAAGCUCAUAUUCCUUUAUCCUGAUGGGAAAGUUGUUGUCAUGUGAUAAGAAGUUCACGGGUUUAAACCCUUGAACACAGCCUUCGGUAGAAAUGCAAGGUUAGACUUUGUACAAUAGGCCUUUGUGGUCGGGUCCUCUUUGGAGCUUUAAUGUAUCGGGCUGCCCUUUUUGUUUUCA
Long non-coding RNA from Solanum pennellii, 1156 nucleotides. RefSeq lists it as uncharacterized. The transcript is spliced from 2 exons. The record is from RefSeq and is a predicted model, not a curated record. NCBI's taxonomy places the organism in Eukaryota, Viridiplantae, Streptophyta, Magnoliopsida, Solanales, Solanaceae.